This 819-nucleotide long non-coding RNA is filed under the name Monodelphis domestica (gray short-tailed opossum). RNAcentral describes it as "lncRNA (ENSMODG00000047264.1)". The record is from RNAcentral. Lineage: Eukaryota; Metazoa; Chordata; Mammalia; Didelphimorphia; Didelphidae.
CUCUGGUGAGUACAGAAUAGUAGUAGUCUCUUGGUAACCGAGGAUGACGAUUGUCUUUGUGCAUUUUCAUCUAUGGUGUAUAGAUUAGUGUGCACAAAGACACUUGUGCGUGAAGGAGAUUUAAGUGGAAAAGUCGAUGCACAGAGACAGUCUCACUCUCUCGGCGUUGGAAGCCUGGAUCCAGUGGCACGAAAAGUCCUUACACCUGGAGACUUCCUCAGCUGCAUUGGAUGGCCAUAUUGUCUUUUGUGCUCCAUCAUGCCCUAAGCACUCCACAGUGCCUUGCUGCAUCGCCCUCUCAGCCCGUUGAAUCUUCUUGUUGGUUUCUUCCGUCUGUUCAGCCUAAGCAGUCUUCACAUGCUGGGUGAGCAAAGCCCUGGUUCACCAGGGGUCAACGACUGGAUGGCUACUCUCACAAGGUUUAGCCUGCCUGUUGAAGCCAUUGCCCAGGGUGUGGCCGCUGCUGCAUGCUACCAGUUACUAGGAGCCACAAGUGAGAGCUGGCUGUCAGAGGACAAAUAAAAGCAAGAGUCAGAAAGAAUUCUCAGACACCCACAAGCAAUGUCAGGAAGUUAGAGAAUGCUCCUCAAAAUUGAAGGUGCUACGAUCAGUUGUGCCUAUGAAAGAGGACAUCAAGUGCUGUCAGCAUCCUAUACAUUUUGGUACCCAAGUUGGCCUGCCCUAGUUAUGGUUCUGAUUCUCAGGUCAGUGAUUGUUUCCAACGCCCUGUGUCAGUUUUUGUCCUCAUGGAAUGACCCAGUUGGCAGCCUGUGUAGUGUAGGAGACAAACAAAACAAAAUAAAAACCUUUUGAGGAUGU